AUAUUGGGAGAGAGAAGAGGAAGAGGACCUGAUAAUUUAUUCGAACUCAAAUCUAUGGAUGACAAUUUUGUUUUUGAUGAUAUAUCCGGCACAGUUCCAGUAAUGUAGUUGGAAGAAAGAUUAAUAUGUCUCAUCUCUGAAGAGAGAUUCCAAAACCAGUCUGGCACAGCAUCAGAAAUUCCAUUCAUUGAGAUGUCAAUGGAAUAAAAGUGCUUUUGAGUUAGGAGCCAUUG
This 233-nucleotide unclassified non-coding RNA is filed under the name Hevea brasiliensis (rubber tree). The record is from RNAcentral. Lineage: Eukaryota; Viridiplantae; Streptophyta; Magnoliopsida; Malpighiales; Euphorbiaceae.